RNAcentral lists this long non-coding RNA (3519 nucleotides) under Malus domestica (apple). RNAcentral's name for it is "long non-coding RNA (MDOM_LNC004843)". The record is from RNAcentral. Lineage: Eukaryota; Viridiplantae; Streptophyta; Magnoliopsida; Rosales; Rosaceae.
AUAGCCCCAGUUCAGAAGCAAGCAGAACAAUCCGAAUUAAUUUGGAUUUGUUAGCAGUGCACCGGAUUAGAGCAGUUUGGAUUUAUUUUCGAAGUUUGACAUCAAAUGGGUUGCAUGCACCUAGCCUAGAUAGUUUUUUGAAGUUUUUAAUUGCAAGGGGAUAAUUCCAAAGAUAUUUCUGUGCAUAUGGUUCAAGUGUCGUGCAAUAAUGAAGUGUCAGAGGAGGUGUUUGGCUUUGAUUACGUGUGGAUGGAGGAAAGCAUGUGGUAAAGCCACGUCACCAAAGAUCAAAUACAAUCCUUUGAAGAUCAAGUCAUGUCAAGCACAUGGGAGUUUGAAAUGAGACUCUACUCGAAGAUCAGGCCGUGCCAAGCAAGUACAUCAGUCCUAUAAAUACAGGUGCAAUGGCAACGAAAGAAGCCCCUCCAAUUCAACACACAAACUACCCUGCGUAAACGCUCGCUUUAUGCGAAACCUCUCAACAACCUUGAGAUUUUAGCAACUGGCGAACAUCUUCAGUUUAGAUAAAUAACACUAUUGCCUUAGAAUCAGUCGACCGUGAAGCACUUUCAGUUUGGAUAAACAGCACUGCGACAGGGUCGACUGGUUAUCUAUCCAAGUCUCGAUCAAGAAGGAUUUUCGAAUCCUUAUUGGUAGAUGUCAUCUCAUUAGCUUUCUCGGCGAAGUAAGGUGUUACAUGUUACUACAUUCGACACAUUGAAAGCCGAAUUUGAUAUUGAACUUCGCAGAACUAGUAGCCUUGUCUUUAGGCUCUUGAACCUAAAGGCCGAGAGUGUUCCUUCCUUGGCCACAGUUGCAAGAUCGAGAAGUCAGCUACCCGCCCAACGCGACAUCAACAAAUUUUACUCACCGCCCGAGCUCGACCGUCGAGUUGGCAUGCCCCGCACACAACCAAAUGACGUAGUUAGCUUAUUAAUUACUCGGCCUGCGCGCCACGUAGACUUGGUAGUUUUAAGGUCAACAUUUUGUCACGCCCAGUGGGACCAAGUGCUAAAACUACGAAAUUCACAUGAUAUAUCAAUAUCACAAUCAGGAUGAGAUUCGGCGCCUAUUUAAGGAAAUUGUCGAGCAACAAAAACUCCUUGAUCGGAUCGUUGAAGCAAAUGAAGAAAGGCAAAAAUCUUUCUCUCAAAUGAUAAAGGUGAAGGUUCAUCACAGCUUACAAGAUCAAUGGUUAAAUGAAGAUAGAGCUCGAUUUUAUGAGUGGCUCGAUAAAAAAACGUCUUUGGGUUCAAACCAAUUUCAUUUGAAGAAUGGUUUGAUCAAAAGGCCAGGGGGCAAUUUUUCACUCCGGCCAUAACCAACAUUCGGCCUAAAAAGAUUGUCGAGACGGUCAAAGAAGAACCUAGGCCACCUGUUUUUUCAGUCGAGACUGAAAUUGUGGUAGGCCUAGAAAACAAAAGCUCAAGUUUCUAAGCCACAAGUUAACUUAGAAAAUGAUUUGUUAGAAGAGUGUUCCAAUGAUGAAAAAGAUCGAUAAUCAGCUUCGGACGAAAAAGCCACAUCAAUUGAUAUGGUAAUUGGAGAUGUGGUCUUAGACGCCAAAACUACGCCAAUUGACAUGGUUAUUGUUGAUAAAGCCAAUAUAGAGAAAUCUCAUUAGGCUAAGUUGUUUGAGUUAAAAGCCGAAAUUGACGAAGUUAUUACGCCUGGUGGGCAUAAUAAUUGUUCAACACAUUCGGCGGCCGAAAAUAAAAAGAAUUUCACCAUGUCAAAAGUAUUUGGAGAUUAUUCUUUAUUCGGCUUAAAGCGAAAUCAAAUUGAAAAUUUUAAUAUGAAACGAUCUCUACUAUGAAUAAAACAUUGUUGGCCUUCUCCUUCUCAUGGAUCAGCCACUUUAUUCCCAUAUAUCCAUCUGGCUGUUUGAGCCGAUGAUGCAUAAGAAAAUAGGGGGGUAGCAAGCAUCCUGACCUCGUACUUAAAAAAAAAGAAAAAAAAAGGAAACAACUUUCGUUGUCUAGGCCGAGGCCGAGAGAAUCAGGAGGAUGCUAUGGUGGCCAUAGCGUUGGCCGAUUUAAAAAAAAAAAAAAGUUUUGAGGUCCAUGCCCCUGAAGACCUGCUUGAAAGUGGAGAUAUUAACAAAGCCAUUCAGCCCAUUUUUAAGCUUUUUAGGAUAAGUCCUCUAGAGUAAUCACAUGACGGAGGAAUCUAAGAAAAAAGAAGUAGGCAUGCAUGACAGAAACAGGACAUUGGGUUUAAUAUAUAUAUAUAUAUAUAUAUAUAUAUAUAUAUAUAUAUAUGUAUGUAUGUACAACCAGUUGGUCAUGGGGUUUAUAUAUAUAGUUAGCGUGCAUCAAGACGCCACGACCAAAACACCACUUUAGGAUGCCAUUUCCAAAUUUUAAAAAUGCUGAGGAGUGGAUGGCUGAAUGACAUGUCGAACGACUGCUCACAUGUUUUGGAGUUCGUCCCCCAAAUUUCUUCAAAAUAGGUAGUAGGCUUCAGUCUAUGGACAUGAUGGCGUGAGGAACCAUGAUUUGCUUCAAGGUACCAGGUUAGUGAAAAGUUAUGGUUUUCUUUCAUGUCAUGUCAGAACACAAUUGGGAAGAGUGAGAAGUCAUGAUUUGCUUUUAUGUCAUGUCAUAAUACAAUUGGGAAGACAAAAGUUUUGUCUAUUUAUUUAGGUCGAGCUCAGCUAACUCGUCGAAUAUACUUUUCAAGUUAUGUAACCAAGUCUAUGGACUUAACUUCUAAUUCAGUGUCGGCCGAAUCUGGGUUUUAUUGUUAUUUUGUUUGGCCAACUUUUGCCGAGCUCGGCGGACAUAAGUUGGUGCUCAGCAGUAAAAUCAUGGGUCUCUUUCAUAUCAUGAUAUCUACAGUAAAAAGGCUAUCUAAAUGGGGGAUUUGUUUUAAUAUCUCGGUGCACCUCAUCUCAAAUUUUGGUCAAAGGAAUGGAAUUUUAGAAAUUAGUUUGCCAAAUAAAUUUUUAUUCGGCGAUGGUUUCUCAGUAGUUCUCGGUUAUAUGUUUUUCUUGGUCAUUCGGCGAAGUUACGAGUUUCAAGGUCAUCUAGCCGAAGCUGAAGGAAAUUUUGAUAUGCGUUGACGAAUAAUUUCCUUGACCAUUCGGCUUAUGAGCCGAAGCUUAAGGAAACUGGGGGGCAAUGUUUGCGCCUGAUUUUAAACUAUCGACCUAAGUAAUCGAGACCGUUGAGUGAGCAUGGUUCUAGACCGUUGGAUAAGAAAGUUAAGAUAAUUUUUUUUUUUUUUAAAUAAUGUUAUGGUUUUUAAUCAUAAUAAUUAUCUUUUAACAAAUCAUCUUGAUUUUCUCAUACAAAACAACAGGGAUACAAAUCAUAGCCCCAAUUCAGAAGCAAGCAAAACAAUCCGAAUUAAUUUGGAUUUGUUAGCAGUGCACCGGAUUAGAGCAGUUUGGAUUUAUUUCGAAGUUUGACAUCAAAUGGGUUGCAUGCACCUAGCCUAGAUAGUUUUUUUGAAGUUUUUAAUUGCAAAGGGAUAAUUUCAAAGAUAUUUCUAUGCAUAUGGUUCAAGUGCCGUGCA